This 229-nucleotide ribosomal RNA is filed under the name uncultured bacterium. Its description in RNAcentral is "partial 16S ribosomal RNA". It matches the Rfam family "Bacterial small subunit ribosomal RNA", at positions 568 to 796 of the family's 1533-position model. The record is from RNAcentral.
UGCGCAGGCGGGGCAAUAAGUCAGUGGUGAAAUCCUGCGGCUUAACCGUAGAACUGCCAUUGAUACUGUUGCCCUUGAGUAUAGUUGAGGUGGGCGGAAUAUGUAAUGUAGCGGUGAAAUGCAUAGAUAUUACAUAGAACACCAAUUGCGAAGGCAGCUCACUAAGCUAUCACUAACGCUGAGGCACGAAAGCGUGGGGAGCGAACAGGAUUAGAUACCCUGGUAGUCC